GAUGUGCCCACUCGAAACAAGAUUGAUGCACAAGUCGUUCUCUAUGAGGACAAGCGACAAGGUUUUUCUAAUGUGAUGGCCAUCGAAAACAUGGGCAAAAGAAACCCUCUUGAUUGGUGGAGUUCAUAUGGUGGUCGAGCCAUUGACCUACAAAGGUUUGCAAAGAGGAUUGUUAGUCUUUGUGCAUCAUCAUCCGGUUGUGAGAGGAAUUGGAGUGCAUUUGAAUUUAUCCAUACCAAGAAAAGGAAUCGGUUACAACACCGAAUCUUGAAUGACAAUGUUUUUGUUUCAUACAACCGGAAGAACAUGGAUAGGUUUCAAAAGAGGCGUGAGAAGAUUGGUGACAAAAGCUAUGACCCUCUAAUCAUUGAUGAUUUUGAUUGGGGCAAUGAGUGGGUUGACCCAACAAUGCCUCCACCCCAAGGUGCUAGAGGGUGUCCCGAUGACAUUUCA
Molecule: long non-coding RNA, 453 nt
Organism: Lolium rigidum
Lineage: Eukaryota; Viridiplantae; Streptophyta; Magnoliopsida; Poales; Poaceae
Exons: 3
Source: RefSeq, a predicted model, not a curated record